GAUGAACGCUGGCGGCGUGCCUAAUACAUGCAAGUCGAGCGAACAGACGAGGAGCUUGCUCCUCUGACGUUAGCGGCGGACGGGUGAGUAACACGUGGAUAACCUACCUAUAAGACUGGGAUAACUUCGGGAAACCGGAGCUAAUACCGGAUAAUAUAUUGAACCGCAUGGUUCAAUAGUGAAAGACGGUUUUGCUGUCACUUAUAGAUGGAUCCGCGCCGCAUUAGCUAGUUGGUAAGGUAACGGCUUACCAAGGCGACGAUGCGUAGCCGAACUGAGAGGGUGAUCGGCCACACUGGAACUGAGACACGGUCCAGACUCCUGCGGGAGGCAGCAGUAGGGAAUCUUCCGCAAUGGGCGAAAGCAUGACGGAGCAACGCCGCGUGAGUGAUGAAGGUCUUCGGAUCGUAAAACUCUGUUAUUAGGGAAGAACAAAUGUGUAAGUAACUAUGCACGUCUUGACGGUACCUAAUCAGAAAGCCACGGCUAACUACGUG
This 497-nucleotide ribosomal RNA is filed under the name uncultured bacterium. Its description in RNAcentral is "partial 16S ribosomal RNA". It matches the Rfam family "Bacterial small subunit ribosomal RNA", at positions 28 to 507 of the family's 1533-position model. The record is from RNAcentral.